Molecule: ribosomal RNA, 460 nt
Filed under: uncultured bacterium
Lineage: Bacteria
Description: partial 16S ribosomal RNA
Rfam family: Bacterial small subunit ribosomal RNA
Source: RNAcentral
CCUACGGGAGGCAGCAGUGAGGAAUAUUGGUCAAUGGGCGUAAGCCUGAACCAGCCAAGUCGCGUGAGGGAUGAAGGUUCUAUGGAUCGUAAACCUCUUUUAUAGGGGAAUAAAGUGUGGGACGUGUCCUAUUUUGUAUGUACCUUAUGAAUAAGGAUCGGCUAACUCCGUUCCAGCAGCCGCGGUAAUACGGAGGAUCCGAGCGUUAUCCGGAUUUAUUGGGUUUAAAGGGUGCGUAGGCGGCCUUUUAAGUCAGAGGUGAAAUUCUGUGGCGUAACCAGAGAAUUGCAGUUGAAACUGGGGGGCUUGAGUAUGGUAGAGGGAGGCGGAAUGCGAGGUGUAGCGGUGAAAUGCGUAGAUAUGACGCAGAACACCGAUUGCGAAGGCAGCCUGCCGGGCCAUGACUGACGCUGAUGCGCGAAAGCGUGGGGAUCAAACAGGAUUAGAUACCCUUGUAGUC